GAUCCUGGCUCACGGAUGAACGCUGGCGGCGUGCUUAACACAUGCAAGUCGAACGAAGCACUUUAUUUGAUUUCCUUCGGGACUGAUUAUUUUGUGACUGAGUGGCGGACGGGUGAGUAACGCGUGGGUAACCUGCCUUGUAUAGGGGGAUAACAGUUGGAAACGGCUGCUAAUACCGCAUAAGCGCACGGCAUCGCAUGAUGCAGUGUGAAAAACUCCGGUGGUAUAAGAUGGACCCGCG
This 241-nucleotide ribosomal RNA is filed under the name uncultured bacterium. Its description in RNAcentral is "partial 16S ribosomal RNA". It matches the Rfam family "Bacterial small subunit ribosomal RNA", at positions 15 to 235 of the family's 1533-position model. The record is from RNAcentral.